CACUGCCGAGAAAAGCCUCUAGAUAGAAAAUAGGUGCCCGUACCGCAAACCGACACAGGUAGUCAAGAUGAGAAUUCUAAGGUGAGCGAGCGAACUCUCGUUAAGGAACUCGGCAAAAUGACCCCGUAACUUCGGGAGAAGGGGUGCUCUUUAGGGUUAACGCCCAGAAGAGCCGCAGUGAAUAGGCCCAAGCGACUGUUUAUCAAAAACACAGGUCUCUGCUAAACCGUAAGGUGAUGUAUAGGGGCUGACGCCUGCCCGGUGCUGGAAGGUUAAGAGGAGUGGUUAGCUUCUGCGAAGCUACGAAUCGAAGCCCCAGUAAACGGCGGCCGUAACUAUAACGGUCCUAAGGUAGCGAAAUUCCU
RNAcentral lists this ribosomal RNA (365 nucleotides) under Staphylococcus aureus. RNAcentral describes it as "partial 23S ribosomal RNA". It matches the Rfam family "Bacterial large subunit ribosomal RNA", at positions 1603 to 1969 of the family's 2925-position model. The record is from RNAcentral. Lineage: Bacteria; Bacillati; Bacillota; Bacilli; Caryophanales; Staphylococcaceae.